This 157-nucleotide ribosomal RNA is filed under the name Tricholomopsis rutilans. RNAcentral describes it as "5.8S ribosomal RNA". It matches the Rfam family "5.8S ribosomal RNA". From Rfam's summary of the family: 5.8S ribosomal RNA (5.8S rRNA) is a component of the large subunit of the eukaryotic ribosome. It is transcribed by RNA polymerase I as part of the 45S precursor that also contains 18S and 28S rRNA. The record is from RNAcentral. Lineage: Eukaryota; Fungi; Basidiomycota; Agaricomycetes; Agaricales.
CAACUUUCAACAAUGGAUCUCUUGGUUCUCGCAUCGAUGAAGAACGCAGCGAAAUGCGAUAAGUAAUGUGAAUUGCAGAUCUCAGUGAAUCAUCGAAUCUUUGAACGCACCUUGCGCCCUUUGGUAUUCCAAAGGGCAUGCCUGUUUGAGUGUCAUU